GACCAAGAGAUUUAGUUAUAUUAGUUAGGUAAAAAGGUAGUUAAGUAAUAAUUAAGUAGUUUAAUAACCUUUUAUAUAAAGGUAAAAUCUGAAUAUAGAAAGUUUAUUUUUAUAAAACUGUUAGGCUGAAGCUAUGAAAAUUUUGAGGGAAACUGGGAUUAGAUACCCCAUUAUUCAUAAUUGUAAAUUAGUUAAGUUUACCAGAGUACUAUGAAUAAAUAAAAUUUAAAACUCAAAGGGCUUGGCGGUGUUUUAGACCUAUUAGGGGAACCUGUCUCUUAAUCGACAAUCCACGUUAUACCUAACCUGCUUUAGUAAUCAGUUUGUAUACCGUCGUCGUCAGGUAACUUUUAAAAAUUAAGAAGUUGGCAAAAUAAUUAACAUAAAUUAGGACGUCAGAUCAAGGUGCAGCCAAUAAGUAGGUGAGGAUGGGUUACAAUUAUAGAUUUAUAAUACGGAUAGUUAAAUGAAAGAAACUUUAAGGAGGACUUAAAAGUAAUAUUAUAAUAUAUAAAUUAUUUGAAUGAGGCUCUGAAACGUGC
Molecule: ribosomal RNA, 542 nt
Filed under: Mitrella loyaltyensis
Lineage: Eukaryota; Metazoa; Mollusca; Gastropoda; Neogastropoda; Columbellidae
Description: partial small subunit ribosomal RNA
Source: RNAcentral